RNAcentral lists this long non-coding RNA (340 nucleotides) under Homo sapiens (human). RNAcentral's name for it is "non-protein coding lnc-COL8A1-4:1". The record is from RNAcentral. Lineage: Eukaryota; Metazoa; Chordata; Mammalia; Primates; Hominidae.
AAUUACCCAGUCUGUGGUAUUUUGUUAUAGCAGCGCAUUCCCACAUGUUUUUUCCUGUUCCUGAUAGGGCAAACAAGCUGUGGCCAAUCAGCACCAAUACCAGGGACAGCUCCUUUCCCUAGGGCUUCCCCGUCAGGUUAGGUUCCCAAUUGUGAUUUUUAUUGCAAGGCUGACAUUUGUAGCUAGAAGAUUCUUCAAUCUCCCACCCUCAUUGUAGUUGAUUCAAUGUCUUUGUUAUUGUGAAUAGUGCUCCAGUGAACAUACAAGUGCAUGUGUCUUUUGGUAGAACCAUUUAUUUUCUUUUAGGUAUAUAACCAGUAAUGGAAUCACUGGGUCUAAU